This is a non-coding RNA of Podarcis lilfordi (Lilford's wall lizard), 1490 nucleotides long. The record is from the annotation of a GenBank genome assembly. NCBI's taxonomy places the organism in Eukaryota, Metazoa, Chordata, Lepidosauria, Squamata, Lacertidae.
GUAUUUCAGAGAGUUAGUCACUUGAUGACAUGAAUAUUCACCACAUUCCAUUUCCACCAUGCAUUGUGAUGCUACUCCAGUGGCGUUUCCCUCCUUUGUUUCAGAGAUCACACGAUGAAUGGAAUGACAUCACAAUGCCAGCUCCUCAGUCAGGUUGGGCUACACAGUGACAUUACUGGUGGCAAUUGAGGGGAAACUGUGAAUGAGAGCAAGGGAGGGCAAUGUAAAUUAACGGUUCAUUGUUUUUCAAAGGGGGCGGACCUCAAAAAAUGUGAGUCAUUUUGACUCAACCUUAGUCUGAAAUUGGCUCUGAACAAUGUUUAGGAAUAAAUAAGGAGAAACUGCCUUGGCCUUUCCACACAUCUGCCACAUUACAUUGCCUGCUUUUUUCUCUUUCUGGUCCUAUAAAACAUUAUUGCUAACAGAUGAAAAAUGUUUUUAAUUUAUGGCAUAGUUUGUGCCACAGUCUCUAUCCAGGAAAGCUAUUUUUGUCUGUUAUUAUAAUCCACUGUCCGCCACAGUUAUCGGUAGGGAGAUCAGGUUCAGGGUUUGUUUGUCCUCAUUAUGAAAAGCGGGUCUGCAAAAGCGAGGAAAUAAAAUAUCUUAACUGGCAUGUCUCUGUAUCAAGCAAUCUUGUAAUUCACAAAGCUCAUUCACAAUCUGAGAUGAUUAUUUAAUUUCCCCCCCUUCUGUCAACUUCAGUGGACGCUCAUCCCCCCCUUAUCUGCAGAAGUCAGAGUGAAUCAUAGAUGCAACAAAGCAAUUUGCUGUUAGAGCUGCUACUAGAAGCUGCAUUUUCCCCUUCAGCUGUGAAAAGACAUACGAAUGUGCUUUGGAAGCAUUUGGAACAAUGAAAAUGGGUUCCAUUAUAAAUGGAAGAAGAGAAAACCCAGUGCAUUCAUGUUUGGGGUGAGAGGGCCCCUACCAACUUACGUUUCUGAUGGUGCAAUCCUAUGCUUGUUACUCAGACAUGCAAUCAAAGAGUAAGUGUACAUACGGCCACUGCCUGCAGGUUAUGGUCCUUGCCAUACAGGCUUGAAGCCUGAAUCUGUCAAAUCUAUUCAGACUCUGAGGCUGAAGCGGGGUGGGUGGGUAUCAAAAGACUGCUGAAGUAUCCUGGGUGUCUCCUUCUCCUGAUGUGCCGUGCUUCCCCCCCCGUCUCCAAUAAUGUGCAGGAUGAGGAGAGCAGAACAGAGGUGGACAGACGCAGUUUGAGAAACAUCUGGCAGAGGAGGAGCCUUAGAAGGGGUGGAAGGCAGGGACCUUCAGCCCUGGAAACUGCUCCGCAGGGGCAAGACCUGCUGGGAAGUGUUGCCGAGUUGUAUGCUGUCUCCUUGAAUCAAGUGUUAACUUCACUGACAACUGACGUUGCUUCUUCAAGAUGGCCUGCAUCUGACUCCAGCCCUGACAUGUGGCUUAGCAUUAUGGGCAAACCUUCCCAUAAGCUUAACUCCAGCCUUUUUACUGCUGAAAAACCAGGAUCUGAAAUC